GAUGAACGCUGGCGGCGUGCCUAAUACAUGCAAGUCGAACGAAACUUCUUUAUCACCGAGUGCUUGCACUCACCGAUAAAGAGUUGAGUGGCGAACGGGUGAGUCACACGUGGGCAACCUGCCCACAAGAGGGGGAUAACACUUGGAAACAGGUGCUAAUACCGCAUAACCAUAGUUACCGCAUGGUAACUAUGUAAAGGGUGGCUAUACUACCGCUUUUGGAUGGGCCCGCGGCGCAUUAGCUAGGUGGUAGGGUAAAGGCUUACUAAGGCAAUGAUGCGUAGCCGAAUUGAGAGGUUGAUCGGCCACAUUGGGACUGAGACACGGCCCAAACUCCUACGGGAGGCAGCAGUAGGGAAUCUUCCACAAUGGGCGAAAGCCUGAUGGAGCAACGCCGCGUGGGUGAAGAUGGUCUUCGGAUCGUAAAACCCUGUUGUUAGAGAAGAAAGUGCGUGAGAGUAACUGUUCACGUUUCGACGGUAUCUAACCAGAAAGCCACGGCUAACUACGUG
Molecule: ribosomal RNA, 512 nt
Filed under: uncultured bacterium
Lineage: Bacteria
Description: partial 16S ribosomal RNA
Rfam family: Bacterial small subunit ribosomal RNA
Source: RNAcentral